This 578-nucleotide long non-coding RNA is filed under the name Nicotiana benthamiana. RNAcentral's name for it is "long non-coding RNA (NBEN_LNC012712)". Lineage: Eukaryota; Viridiplantae; Streptophyta; Magnoliopsida; Solanales; Solanaceae. The record is from RNAcentral.
ACCAUACUUUUUCUUCACAAACAAGACACGAGCACCCCAAGGUGAUAGACUAGGUAGAAUAAAAGCCUUAUCAAGGAAUUCCUACUGCUGAUCCUUCAACUCCUGCAGCUUAAGCGAGGCCAUACGAUACAAAUGAAUGGAAAUGGGCUGAGUGCCCGGCAACAAAUCAAUGCCAAAAUCAAUAUCUAAUCAAGUGACAUGCCUGGAAGAUCAGUUGGAAACACAUCGGAAAAGUCCUGUACUACUAAAACUGAAUCAAAUGAAAGGGGUAUCAAUAUUGACAUCUCUCAUAUAGACUAGAUAUGCAUCACACCCCUUCUCAACCAUACACUGAGAUUUAAGGAAAGAAAAAACUCUACUGGAAGUGUGAUCUAAAGCACCCAUCCACUCAACACGCGGCACACUUAGCGUAUCCAGCGUUAUGGUCUUGGCGUCACAAUCAAGAAUAGCAUAAUGGGUGACAACCAGUCCAUACCUAAGAUAAUAUCAACGUCUACCAUGCUGAGCAACAAUAAAUCGGCUUUGGUCUCAAACCACCAAGAGAAACAAAACAUGACCGAUAAAUACUAUGCACAACA